GUUUGAUGGCGACCGGCGCACGGGUGAGUAACACGUAUCCAACCUGCCGAUGACUCGGGGGAUAGCCUUUCGAAAGAAAGAUUAAUACCCGAUGGCAUAGUUCUUCCGCAUGGUGGAACUAUUAAAGAAUUUCGGUCAUCGAUGGGGAUGCGUUCCAUUAGGUUGUUGGCGGGGUAACGGCCCACCAAGCCUUCGAUGGAUAGGGGUUCUGAGAGGAAGGGUCCCCCCACAUUGGAACUGAGANACGGUCCAAACUCCUACGGGAGGCAGCAUGG
This 275-nucleotide ribosomal RNA is filed under the name uncultured bacterium. RNAcentral describes it as "partial 16S ribosomal RNA". It matches the Rfam family "Bacterial small subunit ribosomal RNA", at positions 83 to 353 of the family's 1533-position model. The record is from RNAcentral.